RNAcentral lists this ribosomal RNA (422 nucleotides) under Triticum aestivum (bread wheat). RNAcentral's name for it is "partial small subunit ribosomal RNA". Lineage: Eukaryota; Viridiplantae; Streptophyta; Magnoliopsida; Poales; Poaceae. The record is from RNAcentral.
GGUAUGUGCCUGCGUAUAUAUGAAUGGUGGUGUAGAGGAACGCAACGUUUGUGCAUCUAGAGGGGACUUUCGAGACUUGGCACUUCGUAUAGUUCUCCCCUUGUGUCGUUUGUUUUGUCCUCCGUACUCCUCCUUGUGAGAGGAACGGGACCGCAGGACCGAGUACGACGAAGACGAACGCGAGAAGUAGUGUUGGUGGUGACGAAGUGACGGCACGGUCACGACGACCUAGCACCUCGUAGGCUGCUCCUGGACGCCGGUGCGGACGACGCCGCUGUUGACGACGGGCGGGCGAGGUGGCGGCAGCCGUGCGACUUUUUCCUACGGGUCCGAACAAGUAGCCUUCAUUUUUAUUUUUAUUUUUAUUAGGUCUCCCUUACUACAACAUGAGUAUGAAUGGACGAGAAGACACUCGUACAUUA